RNAcentral lists this ribosomal RNA (138 nucleotides) under uncultured eukaryote. RNAcentral's name for it is "partial 18S ribosomal RNA". It matches the Rfam family "Eukaryotic small subunit ribosomal RNA", at positions 1299 to 1458 of the family's 1831-position model. The record is from RNAcentral.
UGGUGGAGCGAUUUGUCUGGUUAAUUCCGAUAACGAACGAGACUCGGGCCUAUUAAAUAGUUCGCCGAUUCCGAUCUGUCGGCGUUAACUUCUUAGAGGGACAAGUGGCUUUUAGCCACGCGAGAUUGAGCAAUAACA